AAUUAUUAUUUCAUCUUUUAUUUUUACACGUUUACUUCAUCCCUUAGCUAUAGGGCUUAUAUUACUAAUUCAAACUGUAAUAAUCUGUGUUACAGCUGGUUUAUCAAUAAAUUCUUUUUGGUUUUCCUAUAUUUUAUUUAUUAUUUUCCUAGGAGCAAUAUUAGUUCUAUUUAUUUAUGUAGCAUCCUUAGCUUCUAAUGAGUCCUUUAGAUUUUCUACCUCUUUACUUUUAGUAUUUAUAAUAACAGCUUCAGUAAGAUUACUAAUAAUAUUUAUAGAUCCUAUAUUAGUAAAUACUCCUCUUUCCCUACAACAAUCAUCACUGAUUAAUGACCAGUUUUCUUCAACCCCUAUAUUAUUAAGAUCUAUUUAUAAUUAUACUACUAUAAACCUCACUUUAUUUAUUGUAUUAUAUUUGUUAUUAACAUUAAUCGUAGUAGUAAAAAUUACUAACACUUUUUUUGGUCCUUUACGACUAUCCUCACCUAAUUAAUGACAAUACCAAUUCGUAAAUCACACCCUUUAUUUAAAAUUUUAAAUGGAGCUGUUAUUGACCUCCCAGCACCAGCUAACAUUUCAACUUUGUGAAACUUUGGUUCUCUCCUUGGUUUAUGCUUAGUUAUUCAAAUCGUUACUGGACUCUUUUUAGCUAUACACUAUACUGCUCAUGUUGACCUAGCAUUCUCUAGUGUAGCACAUAUUUGUCGAGAUGUAAAUUAUGGAUGACUUCUCCGAACGUUACAUGCUAAUGGAGCGUCUUUCUUCUUCAUUUGUCUGUAUAUACAUACCGGACGAGGUAUUUAUUAUGGAUCGUUUUUAUAUAUACAUGCUUGAUCAGUAGGUGUCAUUAUUCUUCUACUAGUUAUAGCGACUGCCUUCUUAGGAUAUGUGUUACCUUGAGGACAAAUAUCAUUCUGGGGAGCCACUGUAAUUACGAAUUUAUUUUCAGCUAUUCCAUAUAUUGGUACAGAUCUUGUACAAUGAAUUUGAGGUGGAUUUGCAGUCGAUAAUGCUACAUUAACUCGAUUCUUCACUUUUCAUUUUUUAUUCCCGUUUAUCGUAGCAGCAGCAACUAUUAUUCAUAUUCUUUUUAUUCAUCAAACAGGAUCUAACAAUCCGCUAGGAAUUGUUAGUAAUGUAGACAAAGUACCUUUUCAUCCUUAUUUUACAUUUAAAGAUAUUACUGGAUUUAUCGUAAUGCUAGCAGGACUUAUUCUAUUAACAUUAUUAAACCCUUAUUUAUUGGGAGAUCCAGACAACUUUAUUCCCGCCAAUCCACUUGUUACCCCUGCCCAUAUUCAACCGGAGUGAUAUUUUUUAUUUGCAUAUGCUAUUUUACGAUCAAUUCCUAAUAAAUUAGGAGGUGUUAUUGCCUUAGUAAUAUCUAUCCUCAUUUUAUUAAUCUUGCCUUUUACCCAUGUAGCAAAAUUUCGAAGAUUAACGUUUUAUCCUUUAAAUCAACUUAUAUUUUGAUCAUUAGUAAGUAUUGUCUUCUUAUUAACUUGGAUUGGGGCACGGCCCGUUGAAGAUCCUUAUGUAAUUACUGGUCAGAUCCUGACUGUUCUUUAUUUCUCUUAUUAUUAUUAACCCACUUACACUUAUAUGAUGGGAUAAGAUACUAGAUUA
This is an RNA transcript of Penaeus monodon (black tiger shrimp), 1626 nucleotides long. It is a transcript of the gene named cytochrome b-like, with no coding region annotated. The transcript has a single exon. NCBI's taxonomy places the organism in Eukaryota, Metazoa, Arthropoda, Malacostraca, Decapoda, Penaeidae. The record is from RefSeq and is a predicted model, not a curated record.